Long non-coding RNA from Homo sapiens (human), 1088 nucleotides. RefSeq lists it as uncharacterized. The record is from RefSeq and is a predicted model, not a curated record. NCBI's taxonomy places the organism in Eukaryota, Metazoa, Chordata, Mammalia, Primates, Hominidae. The transcript is spliced from 3 exons.
CUGUUGUCAAGCAAAAGGAGCUCUCUCCCUGAGGCACUGGAAGCCAAUAUUUUGACACCAGGUUUUUGAGAAAGAAAAGUUUUUUAUUAUUCUGCCUGCCAGACUGAAACACAAAAAUACUCACCUGAUUCCUUCCCACUGCCAGGACAGCCCAGUUUGUGUGACGGUCAUAACAGCACUGUGUGGGAAGGAGGCAGCCAGACCCUGAGAUAAAGGUUUGUGAGUCUGUGACCUCAUCUUCCCUCAGAAGUGCAAUUAUAAUUUUACCUGUAGCAGCAAUGACAGCUGACUUAGGGAGUUGAUAACUUUUUGAAAAACUUUUUGCAGUUGCUAAUUACCAGAGGCAAUUACAACUUUCUCAUAAAUGUCUCCAAAGAGACCACUGAAGUAUCCAAAAGAGGCUCUUACUUUUUCACAAUCCCUGAAGACUGCAAGGAGCAGAAAAUAUUGAGGUUUGAUCUGUGAGGCACUUGUAGAGAAGCAUGUUUGUCUCACUGGAUUUCCUAAUUCUAUGAGAUACUCUUCUUCCUAAAAUCAAGCUCAUCCUUAAUUUGCAGAUCCAUUAUGCCAAGGAAUGUGCAGAUGGAACAUCAUUUCUGAGGGCGUCUGUGAGGAUGAUUCCAGAUGAGAUAAGCAUUCAAAUCGAUGUUCUCAGCUGAGAGGAUUGCCCUCCCUAGUGUCCCUGGGCAUCAUCCAAUCAGUUGAAGGCUUGGAUAGAACAAAAGGUAGAGGAAAGAAGAAUUUACCUCUUUUUCCUCCUGCCUUCCUGCUUGAGCUGGGACAUUGAUCUUUUCCUCCUUUGGUCUAGGACUGGCACCACGGACUUCCUGGUUCUCAGGCCUUUGGGCUCAAACUGGAAUUACAACACUGGCUUUUGUUGGUCUCCACCUUGCAGAUGGCAGAUUGUGAGACUUCUCCAUAAUCUCAUGAGCCAAUUCCUCAUAAUAAUAUUUUUCAUAUAUCUAUGUACACACACACAACUACUGUUUCUGUUUCUCUGGAGAACCCUAUGUGUGCAAUUAUGCACACAUUUUUUGUCUCCUAUGCAUAUUCUUUAUUUUUCUUUAAGAGAUGGGGUCUUACUUUGU